This 253-nucleotide ribosomal RNA is filed under the name uncultured bacterium. RNAcentral's name for it is "partial 16S ribosomal RNA". It matches the Rfam family "Bacterial small subunit ribosomal RNA", at positions 524 to 776 of the family's 1533-position model. The record is from RNAcentral.
GACAGAGGGUGCAAACGUUGUUCGGAAUUACUGGGCGUAAAGCGAGUGUAGGCGGUUCGAUAAGUCGGAUGUGAAAGCCCCGGGCUCAACCCGGGAAGUGCACUCGAUACUGUCGAGCUAGAGUAUCGGAGAGGUUGGUGGAAUUCUCGGUGUAGAGGUGAAAUUCGUAGAUAUCGAGAGGAACACCGGUGGCGAAGGCGGCCAACUGGAUGAAUACUGACGCUGAGACUCGAAAGCGUGGGGAGCAAACAGG